This is a long non-coding RNA of Carcharodon carcharias (great white shark), 668 nucleotides long. RefSeq lists it as uncharacterized. The record is from RefSeq and is a predicted model, not a curated record. NCBI's taxonomy places the organism in Eukaryota, Metazoa, Chordata, Chondrichthyes, Lamniformes, Lamnidae. The transcript is spliced from 2 exons.
CACAGGGAUAGGGCUGGCACGGUUCAGGCCCUCGGGUUCGUUUGUAUCGGAUGUGAGCAGACAGCCGGCCUUGGGGCUCUUAUCUACCAAUCUUUACAACUUGCAGUAGGAGUGCUGGUACGAAGCUGCACGGUGUUGCCUGAGGGGAUUGUGACCGCCGAACUGUGGUGGUUGCUUCGCACAACUUGCAAUUUUGGUCAUCGUCUAAUAAGCGACUUUAUAAGUCGAGAACUGAAAUCCUCAAGACGGCUGUUUUAACAUCAACUGGACACAACUCCAGCAGCCUGACUGAUGAAGCAGUCAGUUACCACCUCUCAACUCCACAAAGCCUCCUUGAUUUUAAAAGUCUCUGAUCAAUGGCUACCAAGUGGCCUAAGCACAGAAAGCCGUGUUGCAGCUUCGUUCAUUUCAAGGAUUUUCAUAUUGUUUUCUCUAAUCAGAAACUUAUUGGAACUGAACCCCAUAAAAGAAACACUCUCUGGAUUUUGACUUAUCGGACUCAGACAAUCACAUGAACCAAUAUUACUUUUUAGGUUCUUGUACUGUAAAAACUCCUUUUUUCUAUCUCGCCUGUAACUGUUUAUGUGCAUGUGUAUCUGAGUGGGAAAUUGCAGACAAUCCUCCCCUGAGUUUUUUUGCAUGUGAAAUAAACUAACUUUCUGAGUUAA